Molecule: ribosomal RNA, 468 nt
Filed under: uncultured bacterium
Lineage: Bacteria
Description: partial 16S ribosomal RNA
Rfam family: Bacterial small subunit ribosomal RNA
Source: RNAcentral
GACGAACGCUGGCGGCGUGCUUAACACAUGCAAGUCGAACGGAAAGGCCCUGCUUUUGUGGGGUGCUCGAGUGGCGAACGGGUGAGUAACACGUGAGUAACCUGCCCUUGACUUUGGGAUAACUUCAGGAAACUGGGGCUAAUACCGGAUAGGAGCUCCUGCUGCAUGGUGGGGGUUGGAAAGUUUCGGCGGUUGGGGAUGGACCCGCGGCUUAUCAGCUUGUUGGUGGGGUAGUGGCUUACCAAGGCUUUGACGGGUAGCCGGCCUGAGAGGGUGACCGGCCACAUUGGGACUGAGAUACGGCCCAGACUCCUACGGGAGGCAGCAGUGGGGAAUAUUGCACAAUGGGCGGGAGCCUGAUGCAGCAACGCCGCGUGCGGGAUGACGGCCUUCGGGUUGUAAACCGCUUUCGCCUGUGACGAAGCGUGAGUGACGGUAAUGGGUAAAGAAGCACCGGCUAACUACGCG